Molecule: ribosomal RNA, 488 nt
Filed under: uncultured bacterium
Lineage: Bacteria
Description: bacterial SSU rRNA
Rfam family: Bacterial small subunit ribosomal RNA
Source: RNAcentral
AGAGUUUGAUCCUGGCUCAGAAUCAACGCUGGCGGCGUGCCUAACACAUGCAAGUCGAACGAGAAAACAGGGGCAACUCUGUGAGUAUAGUGGCGUACGGGUGAGUAACACGUGACUAACCUACCUUCGAGUGGGGGAUAACCCCGGGAAACCGGGGCUAAUACCGCAUAACAUCGCAAGAUCAAAGGAGUAAUCCGCUUGAAGAGGGGGUCGCGGCUGAUUAGCUAGUUGGUAGGGUAAUGGCCUACCAAGGCGAUGAUCGGUAGCCGGCCUGAGAGGGCGCACGGCCACGCUGGAACUGAAACACGGUCCAGACUCCUACGGGAGGCAGCAGUGGGGAAUUUUGCGCAAUGGGGGAAACCCUGACGCAGCAACGCCGCGUGGAGGAUGAAGUCCCUUGGGACGUAAACUCCUUUCGACCGGGACGAUUAUGACGGUACCGGUGGAAGAAGCCCCGGCUAACUUCGUGCCAGCAGCCGCGGUAAUAC